AACUUUGGAAGCAACAGGAGCUGUAAUUAAAGAUUUUUCAAGCCAAUAUCAUCACGAAUCACGGGUGAUUAAUUUAUUAACAAGAGAUCCUUCCCUCGUUUGGUUUACUCACGUAACCGAAAAACUUCCUCAGUGGGUUAUCUUUGAAUUGCUUGCGCUUUCUAAAGUUCAUCGCGUUGGAAUAUUUUUACAUGGCGAAAACAAUCAAAAUCCAAAGCAUCUUCAAGUUUACUUCUCGCUGGACGGAAUUAAUUACAAAAUUAUCGUAGAUUCGCCGCUCGAGCACCGAGCCGGCGACUUUUUGUAUGAUCUCCAUUGCCCAAUGGAGACUAAGUUUGUCAAAUACGUGAUUACAGAAAAUUUUGGAGGGAGUGGAAUUUACGUUUCAAAGUGUUUCUGUUUUGGUGUUCCUGUUUAAAAGUU
Zophobas morio is the source of this 423-nucleotide long non-coding RNA. RefSeq lists it as uncharacterized. The record is from RefSeq and is a predicted model, not a curated record. Lineage: Eukaryota; Metazoa; Arthropoda; Insecta; Coleoptera; Tenebrionidae. The transcript has 5 exons.